This is a long non-coding RNA of Saccostrea cuccullata (small rock oyster), 431 nucleotides long. RefSeq lists it as uncharacterized. The record is from RefSeq and is a predicted model, not a curated record. NCBI's taxonomy places the organism in Eukaryota, Metazoa, Mollusca, Bivalvia, Ostreida, Ostreidae. The transcript is spliced from 3 exons.
AGAGAGGUCCACGCACCUCCACACUUACAAGAACUUUGACCUUGCCUCUGCAGUGCCCCUGUAAUUCAUAAAAUCCGUGAUCAUGGCAAAACAAGGACUGGUUGAACGUUUAAAAAAUGGCGAAAAAAUCCUAAUAGCGGAAGGAUAUAUGUGGGAGUUGGAAAGAAGAGGCUAUCUUACUGCUGGAGGUUUUAUUCCAGAAGUAGUUAUAACAAUCCUGAAAUAGUGCGUGCUCUUCACGAAGAAUUCGUCCAUGCUGGUACCGACGUCAUAGAAGCAUUUACGUACUAUGGGCAUCGUGAAAAACUGCGCCUGAUUGGCCGAGAAGAUGACCUAGAAAAGUUAAACAGAGAUGCCUUGCAAAUAGCAAAGGAAAUAGCUACAAAGCAUGGUAAACUACUCGCUGGAGGGAUCUGUAACACGGGGGUUUA